Long non-coding RNA from Helianthus annuus (common sunflower), 1316 nucleotides. RefSeq lists it as uncharacterized. Lineage: Eukaryota; Viridiplantae; Streptophyta; Magnoliopsida; Asterales; Asteraceae. The transcript is spliced from 4 exons. The record is from RefSeq and is a predicted model, not a curated record.
CCAAACACACAGUUCGUGUGUCUGGGAGCGAUCGAACAAGCAGGAGGGAGGGGAAACCCUAGCUCAAGAAAUCAAGCAAUCCAACUCAAGAUCAUAAAUUAAUUCAGUGCAUGAUCCCUAAAUUGUGAUUAGCUAACCCUAAUCUCUUGAGUGGCGUGAAAGAAGAAGGUACAAGCACUAAGCAAGCGGAAGGGGCACAAGAUCGAGGAAAAGCACCUCUAUAGGCGAUUUGGAGCUAUGGGACGAGCACAUGUUCAAGCCUUACGAUACCAAACGCUUCCGCAACUUAUAUGCAUACUUUUGGGUCCAUGUUUUGCUACUUGUUAGACUUUGUCGAAAUGUUUUAGAAUUAAAAACUUGUUACUUUUGUUGGAAUGGUUUUUAUGUAAAAUGGGUCGUAGGUGAACGUUGUAUGUUAUGUUAAAAACAGGGGGUAUGUUCGUUUUACAAACGGGUCAUGCCCAAAUUUUGUAAAAAUUUCUAUUAAGUGUCAAAGUUGAAUUUCGAUGCUACGGAAAAAUCUUGUUUAUGUAGUUAAUCUAUCAUUUUCGAAAAGCGGUCCUUACAGAUAUGUUAGUGGUUUUAUGUAUACUUAACUUAUAAAAGUAACCUAUAAAACUAUUGUAGGAAAUGAAAGAUCAAGGGGUGGGUGAAGACCGGUUGCUGCUACUUAAAGGCGUCAGCAGGGCUUUUGAGGCCAGGUGUUCUCACAGCUCUACUGGGUGUCAGUGGUGCUGGUAAACUACUCUCAUGGAUGUGUUAGCGGGUUGAAAAAAAGACGGGUAUAUUGAAGGCGAUGUUAAGAUUUCUGGGUAUCCAAAGGAAAAAGAAACAUUUGCUCGAAUUUUCAGUUAUUGUGAGCAAAACGACAUCCAUUCACCUCAUGUACCAGAUGUGGGUCUCAAUUUUGUGGUGUAUGAAUCUUUAAAGAUUGGUUGGUUAAAUCAAGACCAUUUGGGCUAGCCGAGGACGUUGAGUUGAAUUUGACAACCAAACGCCAACUAGGGAUGAGAUCGGUACCAACCGGUACCGGUACCAAAAAUCCCAAACAUUUGGGUACCGGUACCUACCGGUAUUUGAAGGUAAAAACCGGUACCGAAAAUCGAAUCAGUUCGGGAAAUUUGGUACCGGUACCCGGUACCAUUUGCUCAUCCCUACCGCCAACAUAGUGGUUCGCGUGGGUUUGGAGGAGGCCGAGUCCUAAGUCUUGCGUGUUGGUAAGACCAGAUCUAUUAUUCUGUUAUGAGGUUUGGUGAUAUGUACAUGCUAUAUCUCAAUAUACUACUCUGGCAUGUCUUUGCCAGACCUCUUGUGAU